RNAcentral lists this ribosomal RNA (254 nucleotides) under uncultured bacterium. Its description in RNAcentral is "partial 16S ribosomal RNA". It matches the Rfam family "Bacterial small subunit ribosomal RNA", at positions 524 to 776 of the family's 1533-position model. The record is from RNAcentral.
CACGUAGGGGGCAAGCGUUGUCCGGAUUUAUUGGGCGUAAAGAGCUCGUAGGCGGCUUAGUAAGUCGGGUGUGAAACCUCCAGGCUCAACCUGGAGACGCCACCCGAUACUGCUGUGGCUAGAGUCCGGUAGGGGAGCGUGGAAUUCCUGGUGUAGCGGUGAAAUGCGCAGAUACCAGGAGGAACACCAGCGGCGAAGGCGGCGCUCUGGGCCGGUACUGACGCUGAGGAGCGAAAGCGUGGGGAGCAAACAGG